Molecule: ribosomal RNA, 905 nt
Filed under: Melanconis marginalis subsp. italica
Lineage: Eukaryota; Fungi; Ascomycota; Sordariomycetes; Diaporthales; Melanconidaceae
Description: partial 28S ribosomal RNA
Rfam family: Eukaryotic large subunit ribosomal RNA
Source: RNAcentral
CCCGCUGAACUUAAGCAUAUCAAUAAGCGGAGGAAAAGAAACCAACAGGGAUUGCCCCAGUAACGGCGAGUGAAGCGGCAACAGCUCAAAUUUGAAAUCUGGCUUCGGCCCGAGUUGUAAUUUGCAGAGGAUGUAUUUGGCGCGGUGCCUUCCGAGUUCCCUGGAACGGGACGCCAUAGAGGGUGAGAGCCCCGUCUGGUUGGACACCAAGCCUAUGUAAUACUCCUUCGACGAGUCGAGUAGUUUGGGAAUGCUGCUCUAAAUGGGAGGUAAAUCUCUUCUAAAGCUAAAUACCGGCCAGAGACCGAUAGCGCACAAGUAGAGUGAUCGAAAGAUGAAAAGCACCUUGAAAAGGGGGUUAAACAGUACGUGAAAUUGUUGAAAGGGAAGCGUUUAUGACCAGACUUGUGCCGUGUGGCUCAUCCGGGGUUCUCCCCGGUGCACUCCAUACGGUUCAGGCCAACAUCGGUUCUCGUUGGGGGAUAAGAACAGUAGGAACGUGGCCCUCCUCGGAGGGUGUUAUAGCCUAUUGUACGAUACCUUGAUGGGGACCGAGGACCGCGCUUCGGCUAGGAUGUUGGCGUAAUGGUCAUUAGCGACCCGUCUUGAAACACGGACCAAGGAGUCGUCCAUUAGAGCGAGCGUUUGGGUGUAAAACCCGCACGCGUAAUGAAAGUGAAAUUAGGUGAGAGCUUCGGCGCAUCAUCGACCGAUCCUGAAGUUUACGGAUGGAUUUGAGUAAGAGUUUUAACGGACGGACCCGAAAGACAGUGAACUAUGCUUGAAUAGGGUGAAGCCAGAGGAAACUCUGGUGGAGGCUCGCAGCUGGUUCUGACGUGCAAAUCGAUCGUCAAAUUUGAGCAUGGGGGCGAAAGACCUAAUUCGAUAUCUGCCUAUGGUGUGGG